AAUUAUUUAAAAAAACACCGAAAAUUCAAGUAAUACGGAAAUAAGUAAAGGAGAAAGUCCCCUGUAAUUUUUCAUAGAGAAAGAGGAAGGAAUGGGGGGCAGCUGUGUAAGUCAAACAUGUUUGUAAAACUCCGUGAGUUUGAAACUAGUAAAAUAGAAAGUGAAAACCUGCUAUAAUUAUGGUGGAAUUGAGGGUGUCUUAUUGUGUUACUAGAGAAUUUUUUAAAGUAGGUUUUUAACAUUUUGACCUUGUUAAAAUGCUCCACUUUUCAAAACAGUCCUGACAGGAUAUCCUGCUUCCUUCCACGCAGAAGAGGUGGUUUGUGCAGAAGAGCAGGCCUCAGAAUGCUUUGCACAUGAGAGGAAUGGCAAGAGUUGCCUAUCACUGAGGAUUUGGGGAGGAGGGAUCACAGGAUAUGGGACUGAAAAUGAGACAGGGCCAGAUAGCAAAAGGCCUUGAAUGCUACACUAAGCACGAAGCAGCUCCUUAAUUUGUGCAUCACUGAAGCAAGAAUAGAGUGGAGGACAUGGCCCGUGUGGUCCUCAUGUUCUGAGUGGCUAUGACAUGGAGUUCUGUGUGAGCUCUCCAUGAAGAAAAUCCCGUCUCCAGGCAGUCAGUGGAGAUUUGAUCCUUACCACAAGAGCACGUGGACAAAUUUGAAUUAUCGUGGAUGUAUAUGGGCAGAAGAAGGUCUCAGAGCCAUAAGGGUGGGGCCCUGUUAGCUCUGUUGGUUCCACUCAGCAACCCACAGUGUGAGUGGGACCCUGCCAGCCCUGCUAGACGUGAGCAUUGUCUGGUGACACUGGCCCCCGCCUUCAUUACUGCAGCAAAGGAAGUGUGGCUAUGGCAGUUGUGGGUUUUGUAUUUUCUAUUUAAAUAUGUCCCUUAAUGUGCCAGUUGUUAAAAAGACUACCAGUGGGCUCUGAAGGGAUGCCUGGACACUUUGAAAGUGUGGUUCAGAUGUGAAAUUGCACUUAAAAGAUGUUUUAAGAGAGACGAGGGCACGUUGAUGUCAGUUUCGGUUUGGGCUGUGUAGUAGCAGCAUUUUGAACUUGGCCCUCUCUCCUUUCUGAGAGCUAAAAACCUUAUCUCCCUGCGGAUGGCAUUGCGUGCAGUUAAUUAUGGCCAGAUGGACUCAGCCGCUUCUUCAUCGUCUUCUCUCGGACUCUGCAGACCUACACCGUGCCUUUAAAGGAAGCAGGGCCCUCCCUGCUGAAGCAUUCAGUGAGCCCAGGCACCAGCACCUUCAAACCGAGUCUUUUCUCUCCUUAGUGCUGCUCCCCGCUUUCCAGGCCUUCCUGGGAUAUCUUAGAGCUCCUGAAGGUGGGGCGCUCCCCUCGAGGCAUUUUCUUCUGAGCUGUGAGCUACGGGCAAGCAGUGGAGGGGGAAGAGAGCAGCUGAAGCAGAUGCCGGUUCAACUUAUUUAAAGAUGUGGGACAAGCUCUGAGGAAGCCCCCAAGACAAUGAUGUCUGGUUGUGCACCAUUGAAGCAAGAACAGAAACCAUCCCAGAGUGGAGGACAUGGCCCAUGUGGUCCUCCUGUUCUGAGUGGCUGUGAGAUGGAGUUCCGUGUGAGCUCUCUACAGAAAAAGCCCUGUCUCCAGGCAGUCAGUGGAGAUUUGUUAAACGAGUUGAAACAGAAGAGGACAAGGAAUUGCUGUGGCUUUAGACAUUGCCAGGGCAUGUAGAAACUCACUCAGGAUUUACUACUGCAUCCACUGUGACUUAGGCGCAGGAGGGGUCACAGUCAGAAGGUUGUUUCUUCAAGUUUCUGAGCCAAACUUAACUCUAAAAAGCAAAUAUUCUGUGUUAAAAGACAGUAAUCAACACGGGAGCUACAUCAGACAUCAUAGGACAAAUUGUCAUCUAGAAGAGUAUAUUUUUAAUGCAGGAGAGUUUUUAAAACCCAGAUUGGUGUGAUUUCAUUCCAGAGAGCUCAGACAUAUGCUCAGCAAGUCUUGCAGAAGGAAUGUCGUCCCAAGUUUGCCAAGACAUCAAUGGCGCUGUUAUUUGAGCACAGGUAUAGCGUGGACUUACUCCCUUUUGUGCAGAAGGCCCCCAAAGACAGUGAAGCUGAGUCCAAGUACGAUCCUCCUUUUGGGUUCCGGAAGUUCUCCAGUAAAGUCCAGACCCUCUUGGAACUCUUGCCAGAGCACGACCUCCCUGAACACUUGAAAGCCAAGACCUGUCGGCGCUGUGUGGUUAUUGGAAGCGGAGGAAUACUGCACGGAUUAGAACUGGGCCACACCCUGAACCAGUUCGAUGUUGUGAUAAGAACUCAGUGCACUGCUCUUGGUCAGUGUGGCUCCAGGAACAGUGAGGGACGCAGGAAGCUCUUCACAGUCCCUGCCCACAAGGGACUUAACGUUUGAGAAGUUGAAACAAAAACACAAAAUGGUUGGAUGCUCCAAACUGUCAUACUGACCCUAAGUUGGAGGAGCAUGCUGCCGGCUACAGUUAAACAGUGCACCAGUUGAGGGAUAUUCAGAACAUGUUGGAAAUAAAACUACUAUAAGGAUGACUUAUCCAGAGGGCGCACCACUGUCUGACCUUGAAUAUUAUUCCAAUGACUUAUUUGUUGCUGUUUUAUUUAAGAGUGUUGAUUUCAACUGGCUUCAAGCAAUGGUAAAAAAUGAAACCCUGCCAUUCUGGGUACGACUCUUCUUUUGGAAGCAGGUGGCAGAAAAAAUCCCACUGCAGCCAAAACAUUUCAGGAUUUUGAAUCCAGUUAUCAUCAAAGAGACUGCCUUUGACAUCCUUCAGUACUCAGAGCCUCAGUCAAGGUUCUGGGGCCGAGAUAAGAACGUCCCCACAAUCGGUGUCAUUGCCGUUGUCUUAGCCACACAUCUGUGCGAUGAAGUCAGUUUGGCGGGUUUUGGAUAUGACCUCAGUCAACCCAGAACACCUUUGCACUACUUCGACAAUCAGUGCAUGGCUGCUAUGAACUUUCAGACCAUGCAUAAUGUGACAACGGAAACCAAGUUCCUCUUAAAGCUGGUCAAAGAGGGAGUGGUGAAAGAUCUCAGCGGAGGCAUUGAUCGUGAAUUCUGAACAUAGAAAACCUCAGUUGAAAAUGCAACUCUAACUCUGAGAGCUGUUUUUGACAGCCUUCUUGAUGUAUUUCUCCAUCCUGCAGAUACUUUGAAGUGCAGCUGAAGUUUUUAACUUUUAAUUUAAAAACACACAAAAAAUUUUAGCUCUUCCCACUUUUUUUUCCCUAUUUAUUUGAGGUCAGUGUUUGUUUUUGCACACCAUUUUGUAUAUGAAACUUAAGAAUUGAAUUGGAAAGACUUCUCAAAGAGAAUUGUAUGUAACGAUGUUGUAUUGAUUUUUAAGAAAGUAAUUUAAUUUGUAAAACUUCUGUUCGUUUACACUGCACAUUGAAUACAGGUAACUAAUUGGAAGGAGAGGGGAGGUCACUCUUUUGAUGGUGGCCCUGAACCUCAUUCUGGUUCCCUGCUGCGCUGCUUGGUGUGACCCACGGAGGAUCCACUCCCAGGAUGACGUGCUCCGUAGCUAUGCUGCUGAUACAGGGUCUGCGAUACAGUGGCGUGAGGCCUGGGCUGGUCGGAGAAGGGCACAACCCUUCUCUGUUGGUCUGCCUUCUGCUGAAAGACUCAAGAACCAACCAGGGAAGCUGUCCUGGAGGUCCCUGGUCGGGGAGGGACAUAGAAUCUGUGACCUCUGACAACUGUGAAGCCACCCUGGGCUGCAGAAACCACAGUCUUCCCAGCAAUUAUUACAAUUCUUGAAUUCCUUGGGGAUUUUUUACUGCCCUUUCAAAGCACUUAAGUGUUAGAUCUAACGUGUUCCAGUGUCUGUCUGAGGUGACUUAAAAAAUCAGAACAAAACUUCUAUUAUCCAGAGUCAUGGGAGAGUACACCCUUUCCAGGAAUAAUGUUUUGGGAAACACUGAAAUGAAAUCUUCCCAGUAUUAUAAAUUGUGUAUCUAAAAAAAAGAAACUUUUCUGAAUGCCUACCUGGCGGUGUAUACCAGGC
This 4000-nucleotide small RNA is filed under the name Pan troglodytes (chimpanzee). RNAcentral describes it as "retained intron". The record is from RNAcentral. Lineage: Eukaryota; Metazoa; Chordata; Mammalia; Primates; Hominidae.